This 447-nucleotide ribosomal RNA is filed under the name uncultured bacterium. Its description in RNAcentral is "bacterial SSU rRNA". It matches the Rfam family "Bacterial small subunit ribosomal RNA", at positions 355 to 825 of the family's 1533-position model. The record is from RNAcentral.
UCGGGAAUUUUGGGCAAUGGGCGAAAGCCUGACCCAGCAACGCCGCGUGAAGGAUGAAGUAUUUCGGUAUGUAAACUUCGUAAGAAUAGGAAGAAUAAAUGACGGUACUAUUUGUAAGGUCCGGCUAACUACGUGCCAGCAGCCGCGGUAAUACGUAGGGACCAAGCGUUGUUCGGAUUUACUGGGCGUAAAGGGCGCGUAGGCGGUGUGUCAAGUCAGUUGUGAAAUCUCCGAGCUUAACUCGGAACGGUCAACUGAUACUGUCACACUAGAGUACAGAAGGGGCAAUCGGAAUUCUUGGUGUAGCGGUGAAAUGCGUAGAUAUCAAGAGGAACACCUGAGGUGAAGACGGGUUGCUGGGCUGACACUGACGCUGAGGCGCGAAAGCCAGGGGAGCAAACGGGAUUAGAUACCCCCGUAGUCCCUGAGCGGGCUGGCAAGGCGCAU